Long non-coding RNA from Sorghum bicolor (sorghum), 2529 nucleotides. RefSeq lists it as uncharacterized. The record is from RefSeq and is a predicted model, not a curated record. Lineage: Eukaryota; Viridiplantae; Streptophyta; Magnoliopsida; Poales; Poaceae. The transcript has 3 exons.
CAUGCGGUGCUGCUUUUCCCGUCCGCAGAUGGCAGGCAGACCCGCACCGCUCUUCUUCUGCACCCCUCCCUGCCCUACGGCAAAUCUCCGCUCGGUCUUCUGCACCCAUCCACUUCUUCUACCCUUCACUUUCUCCUCUUCCCAAAUCUAUUCUCCCAAAGUACCUCAACCGAAUCGGCCAAAUCGCAACCCAAGCAGCCAGAUCGGCGACUCCAUGGCGGCCGCCGCCGCUUGGGGAGAAGAUCCUAUUUGCGCAGUGCCACCCUUGGACGCUGGGCGCGUGUUGCCUUCUAGUCGGACCGGGGGCGCUGUGCGUUUGCUGGGUACAGCCAUGGCUGUAUGGAUCGUCUCCGCCGUAUAAGUCUCUGCUGUAUGGACUCCGAAGGGAACGCGGUAGACUGAUGGCAGAACAAAAUUUUGAAUAUAUAAGGCCUGGAUAGAGCAGAUUGAAGGCAGUCAGAAUUAAUAAGGACGAAUAUAUGAACGAGUCUGGAUAGAGCAGAUUGAAGGCAGUCAGGAUUAAUAAGGACGAAUAUAUGAACCAGUCUGGAUAGAGCAGAUUUGAAGGCAGUCGGGAUUAAUAAGGACGAAUAUAUGAACGAGUCUGGAUAGAGCAGAUUGAAGGCAGUCAAGAUUAAUAAGGAUCGAUAUAUGAACCAGCCAAUCUCCAAACGACGCUGUCCAGUGGCUCCGGAGGUCGGCGGCGGCAGCAUGAUUCCAGUUGAGGUGCUGCAGUUCGAGAUCCUCGUGCGCCUUCCUGUGAAGUCUUUUGUGCGCUUCAAAUCCGUCUGCAAGGUGUGGUGCACCACCAUAGCCAGCGCUGAUUUCGUCCGCCUGCACUUAGAGCUUGCAAGAGCUCGCUCAUCAUCCAUGAUCUUAAUCCCCCGGAAGUUCCAGCCAGAACCGAAGAAGUUGGGCUCUCGGUUCGUGCACAUCUACAGCUUCCAGCCAGCGGUGCAGAGCAAUGUCGCCAAGCUCAUUAUGAGGAACAAGCCUCUUUCCCAUGGCAUCCCACGAUUCACCAUCCCCUUGCACUGUGACGGACUUGUUCUGAUCCCCAGCAUCACAGGGCACAUAUUUGUGUGCAACCCGGCCACCAAGGAGUUUGUUGAGUUGCCACGGGCACCCGGAAUGUGUUGUUGGAACAAAGGGUCGCCUUUGGCUUCGAUCCUUCUAGUGGUACGUAUAAGGUGGCUAGGCACUUCUUGCGCUCAUACAGUGAAGGGUAAAUACGUACAGAAUUCGACGUUGGACAUGAGGUCUUAAUGCUUGGCGAUGGCAGGGACACGUUGGAAUGGAAAGCAACCAUUGAUCCACCUUACCCUAUCCAGGCCAGGACUCCUAUUUGCUUGCCAGGAUUCUUCUAUUGGAGUGCGGUCCAGUCCGUGGCUGACCCUGAUCAGGGUAAGCUCGACAUAGAUGUUAUCCUUCGAUUCAGCAUGUGUGAUGAUACAUUCACUGUGCACCCUAAUCCUCCAUGCAGGAGCUGCCUAAGUACUAAUGACUUUAUGUGUGAGUUAGGUGGCAAGCUGUGCUAUGUCCACUCCCCUUCCCCGUUUGAAGUCUCCAUUUGGUUAGCACAAAAUGGACAAAACAUAAUAAAAUGGUCGCUACGUUGUCGUGUUAAUCUGCCCAUACCAAGGGGUGCUCGUGUUUUAGCUUGUGCUUCAGCUGAUGAGGACACAAUAUUCCUCUCUGUGGAUGCUCGGGAUCUUUUCAAGUGCAACCUCCAUGAUGUCUUGAAACAGUAGUCAAUAUGCGACAUGACCUAUGGUAUCACCACGAGGAAGGGGUAAAGUUUGUCCAUGGUUCCCUCCCUUUUUUGCAUUACAUGCUGCCAUAUGUGGAAUCUUUGCUGCGUAUUGGACCAUGCUAGCCACCUGACGUAUGUUAUCAAUACCAAUAAAAGAAAGGUUAUGUUUGAAUGUGUCUUUUAUGUUAUCAACAGCCCGUGGGAAGUCUCCAUUUGGUUACCAUAAGAUGGACAAAACAUAUAACAUGCUGCCUGUUCGGCUGAAAAAAACGGUUGAUGCUGAUUUACUGUGAGAGAAAAAUACUGUUAUUGUGUUGAAAUGGUAUGCCUGAUAAAUUCAAGCGAACAGAGCCCUAUGUUGCCGUGUCAAUCUGCCCGUACCAAGGAUUCUCCGUGUUUUUGCUUGUGCUUCAGCUGAUCAAGACAUGGUAUUCCUCUCCGUAGAUGCCCGACUCCUUUUCAAGUGCAAGCUCCGUGAUGGAUCUCUUAAAAUAAUAGUCAGUAUGCCAUAUGGCCUGCCGUAUGACCCUGGGGAAGGGGUAAAUUUUAUCCAUGGUUCACUCUCUUUUUCGCAUUACAUGGUGCCAUAUGUGGAAUCUUUGCUCCGCUUGGACCAUGCUAGCCAGCUGAUUGCAUGUUAUCAAUACCAAUAAAAGAAAGGGUAUGUUUGAAUGUGUCUUGUAUGUUAUCAACAGAUGUGGGUGUGUUGGAAGCUGUUUGUAAAAAAAUACUAUCCUAUUUUUUCGACAAAUAAUAAUAUUACUAUUAUUAAUUCA